CCAUCUCCUCCUGACACUACGUAAAAAAACACAAACACACUCUCUCCGCGCGAGAAGAAAAAACAAAAACAAAAAGGUACCCUCCUGGUG
Molecule: non-coding RNA, 90 nt
Filed under: Gloeochaete wittrockiana
Lineage: Eukaryota; Glaucocystophyceae; Gloeochaetales; Gloeochaetaceae
Source: RNAcentral